UGGGAAUGGGGGCGGGGUUUUUGGGGACCCCGGGGCUGCCCCGCCCCCCCCAGACCCCCAAUCCCCCCCGCCCCCCCAGGGCCCCGCCCCCCCGCUGGAGGUGGGGGUGGAGCUGAGCCCGCCCCAGGCCGAGCUGGACCUGGGGCUGCUGGAGCGCCUCGGCCCCGCCCUCGACGCCAUCUUCGACCACGCCCACGCCGGGGACACGUCCACCGGGGAGGACACGCCCACUGAAGAGGUGCGGUGGGCGUGGCCGCUGGUGCGGUGGGCGGCGCCGGGGGCGGAGCUCCGGCUGUGGCUGCCCCUGACCGACCUGCGCCCCCCCCCCGCCCGCGCCCCCCCGCCCCGGCGCCGCCCCGAGAGCCUCCGGGCGCACCUGGGGAGACCCCGCGGCUGGGCGGGGCCGGGGGGCGGGGCCCUGGCCUGCGAGCACCUGGAAGUGACGUACGAGGCCGAGGACAUGGGGACCCUCCCCUGCCUGAGCGCCGAGCCGGGGCCCGGCCCGGGGGGCCCCCGCAGCGUCCCCACGUGAGCGGGGGGGUCUUUGAGGGUCUUGGGGGGUUUUUAGAGGG
Molecule: long non-coding RNA, 572 nt
Filed under: Taeniopygia guttata (zebra finch)
Lineage: Eukaryota; Metazoa; Chordata; Aves; Passeriformes; Estrildidae
Description: lncRNA (ENSTGUG00000029104.1)
Source: RNAcentral